UACGGAGGAUCCGAGCGUUAUCCGGAUUUAUUGGGUUUAAAGGGUGCGCAGGCGGGAGAUUAAGUCGGCGGUGAAAUUUUGCAGCUCAACUGUAAAAGUGCCUUCGAAACUGGUUUCCUUGAGUGUAGAAGAAGUAGGCGGAAUUUGUGGUGUAGCGGUGAAAUGCAUAGAUAUCACGAGGAACUCCGAUUGCGCAGGCAGCUUACUAAACUACUACUGACGCUCAGGCACGAAGGCGUGGGGAUCAAACAGGAUUAGAUACCCUGGUAGU
Molecule: ribosomal RNA, 271 nt
Filed under: uncultured prokaryote
Description: partial 16S ribosomal RNA
Rfam family: Bacterial small subunit ribosomal RNA
Source: RNAcentral